UGGGGUAUAGCCAAGCGGUAAGGCAACUGGCUCUGAACCAGUCAUUUCGGGAGUUCGAAUCUCUCUACCCCAGCCA
Molecule: transfer RNA, 76 nt
Filed under: Solobacterium sp.
Lineage: Bacteria; Bacillati; Bacillota; Erysipelotrichia; Erysipelotrichales; Erysipelotrichaceae
Description: tRNA-Gln
Rfam family: tRNA
About the family: Transfer RNA (tRNA) molecules are approximately 80 nucleotides in length. Their secondary structure includes four short double-helical elements and three loops (D, anti-codon, and T loops).
Source: RNAcentral